UUUAAUAAGAAUUUUUGUUUGUUUGUUUGUUUUUGCCACAAUAGGGGAAAAAAAGGGAUAGAUACUAAAUGUAAAGUGGUCCAGUAGAAAAUAGAAAAACACACAAAAACUCUUAUUAGACUGCCCUUGUAUAUAUAUUCGGAGUCAAGGUUAUAUUAGCUCAUAAAAUAAGUUAGGGAACAUUUUCUCUUUUUCAUUCAGCUGAAGAAUUGAUAUAAUAAUAGAAUUAUCUCUUCUUUGAAUAUACAGUAUAAUUAUCUGCAAAACUGUCUUAUUGUAGCUUUAAUAUUUCAUUGUAUCUUCUUUGGGUAAUUUUUUUUUUUUUACAUGGUUUGGUUGCUUAGUAUAAUACCUUUAUUUACCAAUAACAGCGUAUAACAUGUACAAUUAUAAAAUAAAACAGUAUUCCCCUCCCAUUCUUCUCUUAUCUAUACUGAUUUAAAAUUUUCUCAUAUAGGAACGUCAGUACUUAUCACCUUUUAAGGAGCGAUAAGUCCUUGAUGGCAGAGUGGCCAUGUUAUUAUAGUCUGUGUCAAAGAACUGAAGGGAAAGCAUGUUUUUUUUUUUUUUUAAACAAAGGAAGAGGUUGGGCAUGCUCCGGAGCAGUCAUCCUGCCAGUAAAGCCGCAUGAGGGUUUCACCUUACUGACAUGGCCUCGAAGCUUUGGCAGGUAUUACUGCUUCCAGAUUUGGUCCCAGCGUGGGACAAAAGAAUAUACAGACCUCCUCCUGCCUUUGAAUAAUUAGCGUCAGCAUAGCAUCCUCAACAGUGAGGGAUACAAACAAAGCAAGCACAGAGAGGACCUGGAAGAGAUUUGGCUUUGGGGAGUGAUUUAGCUAGGAUCACCACCUCUGUUGAGUGUAGAGGCAUUUGUGGAUUUGGACAGCAUUUCCCUUUGCCCUAGCAGUGUUUGCUUUGCUCUGGAGGGUACCCACCACAUGGUGCAAGCUAUGGCCCUACUGGCUGUAUACACAGAUGGGCAGCUACUGAUCCAAAUAUCAUACAGCUACAGAAGAAUUCAUCCAAAUGGCUCUAACUGAGUCCUAUACCUCCAGGGUCUUUUCCUUCCUGUGAAGAAAAUUCGAAUGAGUGUUCUAGUAGAGAUAAUAAAAAAAAUAUUGCUAUUUUAGAAGUACUUAAAGCCUCCUGUGUAUUUGAGUCCAGGUUGUUUUCUUAAAACUCCUGAUUUCCAGGGAUAAAAAGAAAAUGUGAAUAAACCCCCCAAUAGUCUCAAUUUUGACAUGACUUACAGUGUGUGGAUGGUUUUAACUUUAUUUAAUAGAUACACUUCUGUUAAGUUGAAAGUAAGUGGAUCGUACUUUCAGCAUAGUUGUAGAGCUUACACGUUAAAUAGUUCCACUGGGAAUCUAUUAGAGAGCAAAUGAGAGCCUCCUUCUGUGGUG
RNAcentral lists this long non-coding RNA (1403 nucleotides) under Marmota monax (woodchuck). Lineage: Eukaryota; Metazoa; Chordata; Mammalia; Rodentia; Sciuridae. The record is from RNAcentral.